UCUUUGCCACUGAGGUGAAUUACACCCCCAUUUGGUUCAAGUUAGCCUGAGCUCUUCACAGGAGAGGUAAAGUGCUUCUGCCCCCUGCCAGAGGAAAGAGGCGGUGGAGACAACUGCUUGAGCAAGAAGAUGGGCCAGUCUUCUUUCCACUUCUGUGUUCCAGUCUUUCCUCUUCUCUAAACAAAGGCUCCUGGUAUCCAGUACAAGACUUACUUACAUAGAGUGGCUAGAUGGACAGCCUUUCUUCCUAGGACCAUUAAUGCUGCUGAGAAGGACAGAGUUUCCUGUGCUGCAUGGUAGAGACUGCACGGGCAUCUAUUUGUAUAUGCACCUAUCUCAUUUUAUCUGUUGGCCUCUGGAGGGACAUUUCAGUUGCUUCCAUCUUGGCUGUUGCAGACAGUGUUCUGACGACUGUGGAGUGCAGACAUCAUCUCUUCCGCAUAUGGAUCCAGUUCCUUCAACUGUGUACCUAGAAGUGCAGUUGCCGGAUCAGAUGCAGUAACAGGGAGAGGACUCUACAAGUGGGUCUAGCCACGCUUGAUGCCACUGGAAGAGGGGACAGGAUAGACUUAGAAGGAAUCGCCUGCUCCAAAGAUCAAGG
Long non-coding RNA from Mus musculus (house mouse), 601 nucleotides. RefSeq annotates it as predicted gene, 39602. Lineage: Eukaryota; Metazoa; Chordata; Mammalia; Rodentia; Muridae. The transcript is spliced from 3 exons. The record is from RefSeq and is a predicted model, not a curated record.